GAGGUGAUACCUCAUUUUAGUUUUAAUUUGCAUUUCUCUAAUGAUUAGUGAUGUUGAGCAUCCUUUCAUGUGUUUGUUGGCAAUCUGUAUAUCUUCUUCGCAGAAAUGUUUAUUUAGGUCUUCUGCCUAUUUUUGGAUUGGGUUGGUUUUUUUUGAUAUUGAGCUGCUUGUAAAUUUUGGAGAUUAAUCCUUUGUCAGUUGCCUUACUUGCAAAUAUUUUCUCCCAUUCUGAGGGUUGUCUUUUCGUCUAGUUUAUGGUUUCCUUUGCUGUGCAAAAGCUUUUAACUUUCAUUAGGUCCCAUUUGUUUAUUUUUGUUAUUAUUUCCAUUUCUCUAAGAGGCAGGUCAAAAAGGAUCUUGCUGUGAUUUAUGUCAUAGAGUGUUCUGCCUAUGAGUUCCUCUAAGAGCUUUAUAGUGUCUGGCCUUACAUUUAGGUCUUUAAUCCAUUUUGAGUUUAUUUUUGUGUAUGGUGUAGGGAGUGGUCUAAUUUCAUUCUUUUACAUGUAGCUGUCCAGUUUUCCCAGCACCACUUAUUGAAAAGGCUGUCUUUUCUCCAUUGUAUACUCUUGCCUCCUUUAUCAAAAAUAAGGUGACCAUAUGUGCGUGGGUUUAUCUCUGGGCUUUCUAUCCUGUUCCAUUGAUCUAUAUUUCUGUUUUUGUGCCAGUACCAUACUAUCUUGAUUACUGUAGCAUUGUAGUAUAGUCUGAAGUCCAGGAGACUGAUUCCUCCAGCUCUGUUUUUCUUUCUCAAGAUUGCUUUGGCUAUGCAGGGUCUUUUGUGUUUCCAUACAAAUUGUGAAAUUUUUUGUUCUCGUUCUGUGAAAAAUGCCCGUGGUAGUUUGAUAGGGAUUGCAUUGAAUCUGUAGAUUGCUUUGGGUAGUAGAGUCUUUUUCACAAUGUUGAUUCUUCCAAUCCAAGAACAUGGUAUAUCUCUCCAUCUGUUUGUAUCAUCUUUAAUUUCUUUCAUCAGUGUCUCAUAGUUUUCUGCAUACAGAAAACUUUUGUCUCCUUAGGUAGGCUUAUUCCUAGGUAUUUAAUUCUUUUUGUUGCAGUGGUAAAUGGGAAUGUUUCCUUAAUUUCUCUUUCAGAUUUUUCAUCAUUAGUGUAUAGUAAUGCAAGAGAUUUCUCUGCAUUAAUUUUGUAUCCUGCUACUUUACCAGAUUCACUGAUUAACUCUUGUAGUUUUCUGGUAGCAUCUUUAGGAUUCUCUAUUUAUAGUCUCAUGUCAUCUGCAAACAGUGCCAGCUUUACUUUUUCUUUUCCGAUUUAGAUUCCUUUUGUUUCUUUUUCCUCUCUGAUAGCUGUGUCUAAACUUCCAAAACUAUGUUGAAUAAUACUGGUGAGAGUGGACAACCGUGUCUUGUUCCUGGUCUUAGAAGAAAUGGUUUCAGUUUUUCACCAUUGAGAACGACGUUGGCUGUUGGUUUGUCAUAUAUGGCCUUUAUUAUGUUGAGGUUCUCUCUGUGCCUACUUUCUGGAGGCUUUUUAUCAUAAAUGGGUGUUGAAUUUUGUCCAAAGCUUUUUCUGCAUUUAUUGAGAUGAUCAUGUUUUUUCUUCUUCAAUUUGUUAAUAAUGUUUAUCACAUUCAUUGAUUAGCGUAUAUUGAAGAAUCCUUGCAUUCCAUGGAUAAACCCCACUUGAUCAUGGUGUAUGAUCCUUUUAAUGUGCUGUUGGAUUCUGUUUGCUAGUAUUUUGUUGAGGAUUUUUGUAUCGAUGUUCAUCCGUGAUAUUGACCUUUAGUUUUCUUUCUUUGUGACAUCAUUGUUUGGUUUUGAUAUCAGGGUGAUGGUGGCCUCACAGAGUGAGUUUGGGAGUGUUCCUCCCUCUGCUAUAUUUUGCAAGAGUUUGAGAAGGAUAGGUGUUAGCUUUUCUCUAAAUGUUUGAUAGAAUUUGCCUGUGAAGCCAUCUGGUCCUGGGUUUUUGUUUGUUGGAAGAUUUUUAAUCACAGUCUCAAUUUCAGUGCUUGUGAUUGGUCUGUUUAUAUUUUCUAUUUCUUCCCGGUUCAGUCUCAGAAGGUUGUGCUUUUAUAAGAAUUUGUCCAUUUCUUCCAGGUUGUCCAUUUUAUUGGCAUAUAGUUGCUUGUAGUAAUCUUUCAUGAUCCUUUGUAUUUGUGCAGUGUCAGUUGUUACUUCUCCUUUGUCAUUUCUAAUUCUACUGAUUUGAGUCUUCUCCGUUUCUUUCUUGAUGAGUCUGGCUGAUGGUUUAUCAGUUUUGUUUAUCUUCUCAAAGAACCAGCUGUUAGCUUUAUUGAUCUUUGCUAUCAUUUCCUUCAUUUCUUUUUCAUUUAUUUCUGAUCUGAUCUUUAUGAUUUCUUUCCUUCUGCUAACUUUUGGGUUUUUUGUUCUUCUUUCUCUAAUUGCCUUAGGUGUAAGGUUAGGUUGUUUAUUUGAGAUGUUUCUUGUUUCUUGAGGUAGGAUUGUAUUGCUAUAAACUUCCCUCUUAGAACUGAUUUUGCUGCAUCCCAUAGGAUUUGGGUCAUCAUGUUUUCAUUGUCAUUUGUUUCUAGGUAUUUUCUGAUUCCCUCUUUGAUUUCUUUGGUGAUCUCUUGGUUAUUUAGUAGUGUACUGUUUAGCCUCCAUGUGUUUGGUUUUUUUACAGAUUUUUUCCUGUAAUUGAUAUCUAGUCUCAUAGCGUUGUGGUCGGAAAAGAUACUUGAUACGAUUUCAGUUUUCUUAAAAUUUACCAAGGCUUGAUUUAAGACCCAGUAUAUGAUCCAUCCUGGAGAAUGUUCCAUGAACACUUGAGAAGAAAGUGUAUUCUGUUGUUUUUGGAUGGAGUGUCUUAUAAAUAUCAAUUAAGCCCAUCUUGUUUAAUGUAUCAUUUAAAGCUUGUGUUUCCUUAUUUAUUUUCAUUUUGGAUGAUCUGUCCAUUGGUGAAAGUGGGGUGUUAAAGUCCCCUACUACGAUUGUGUUACUGUCGAUUUCCCCUUUUAUGGCUGUUAGCAUUUGCCUUAUGUGUUGUGCUCCUGUGUUGGGUGAAUAAAUAUUUACAAUUGUUAUACCUUCUUCUCGGAUCGAUCCCUUGAUCAUUAUGUAGUGUUCUUCUUUGUCUCUUUUAACAUUCUUUACUUUACCCUUUUUUUUUUUUUUUUUUUUUAUGCUGUACGCGGGCCUCUCACUGUUGUGGCCUCUCCCGUUGCGGAGCACAGGCUCCGGACGCGCAGGCUCAGCGGCCAUGGCUCACGGGCCCAGCCGCUCCACGGCAUGUGGGAUCCUCCCGGACCGGGGCACGAACCCUCGUCCCCUGCAUCGGCAGGCGGACUCUCAACCACUGCGCCACCAGGGAAGCCCAACAUUCUUUACUUUAAAGUCUGUUUUUUCUGAUGUGAGAAUCGCUCUUCCAGCUUUCUUUUGAUUUCCAUUUGCAUGGAAUAUCUUUUUCCAUCCCCUCACUUUCAGUCUGUAUGUGUCCCUAGGUCUGAAGUGGGUGUCUUGUAGACAGCAUAUAUAUGGGUCUUGUUUUUGUAUCCAUUCAGCCAGUCUAUGUCUUUGGUUGGAGCCCUUAAUCCAUUUACAUUUAAGGUAGUUAUCGAUAUGUAUGUUCCUAUUACCAUUUUCUUAAUUGUUUUGGGUUUGUUAUUGUAGGUCUUUUCCUUCUCUUGUGUUUCCUGCCUAGAGAAGUUCCUUUAACAUUUGUUGUAAAGCUGGUUUGGUGGUGCUGAAUUCUCUUAGCUUUUGCUUGUCUGUAAAGGUUUUAAUUUCUCCACUGAAUCUGAAGGAGAUCCUUGCCAGGUAAUCUUGGUUGUAGGUUUUUCCCUUUCAUCACUUUAAAUAUGUCCUGCCAGUCCCUCUGGCUUGCAGAGUUUCUGCUGAAAGAUCAGCUUUUAACCUUAUGGGGAUUCCCUUGUAUGUUUUUUGUUGUUUUUCCCUUGCUGCUUUUGAUACUUUUUCUUUGUAUUUAAUUUUUGAUACCUUGAUUAAUAUGGUCUUGGCGUGUUUCUCCUUGGAUUUAUCCUGUAUGGGACUCUCUGUGCUUCUUGGACUUGACUAUUUCCUUUCCAAUAUUAGGCAAGUUUUCAACUAUAAUCUCUUCAAGUAUUUUCUCAGUCCCUUUCUUUUUCUCUUCUUCUUCUGGGACCCCUAUAAUUUGAAUGUUGGUGCAUUUAAUGUUGUCCUAGAGGCCUCUGAGACUGUCCUCAAUUCUUUUCAUUCUUUUUUCUUUAUUCUGCUCUGUGGUAGUUAUUUCCACUAUUUUAUCUUCCAGUUCACUCAUCCAUUCUUCUGCCUCAGUUAUUCUGCUAUUGAUUCCUUCUAGAGAAUUUUUAAUUUCAUUUAUUGUGUUGUUCAUCAUUGUUUGUUUGCUCUUUAGUUCUUCUAGGUCCUUGUUAAUUACUUGUAUCUCCUCCAUUCUAUUUCCGAGAUUGUGGAUCAUCUUUACUAUCAUUACUCUGAAUUCUUUUUCAGGUAGACUGCCUAUUUCCUCUUCAUUUGUUUGGUCUGGUGGGCUUUUACUUUGCUUCUUUAUCAGCUGUGUGUUUCUCUGUCUUCUCAUUUUGCUUAACUCGCUGUGUUUGGGGUCUGCUUUUCACAGGCUCCAGGUUCAUAGUUCCCGUUGUUUUUGGUGUCUGCCCCCUGUGGCUAAGGUUGGUUCAGUUGGUUCAGUUGUGGUGAAUGAGGCUAGAUCUUGUCUCUCUAGUGGGCAGGACCACGUCUGAUGGUGUGUUUUGGGAUGUCUGUGACCUUAUUAUGGUUUUAGGCAGCCUCUCUGCUAAUGUGUGGGGUUGUGUUCCUGUCUUGCUAGUUGUUUGGCAUAGGGUGUCCAGCACUGUAGUUUGCUGGUCAUUGACUGGAGCUGGGUCUUAGCGUUGAGAUGGAGAUCUCUGGGAGAGCUUUCGCCAUUUGAUAUUACAUGGAGCAGAGGUCUCUGGUGGACCUAUGUCCUGAACUCAGCUCUCCCACCUCAGAGGCACAGGCCUGACACCGGGCCAGAGCACCAAGACCCUGUCAGCCACAUGGCUGAGAAGAAAAGGGAG
RNAcentral lists this long non-coding RNA (4971 nucleotides) under Phocoena sinus (vaquita). Its description in RNAcentral is "lncRNA (ENSPSNG00000018779.1)". Lineage: Eukaryota; Metazoa; Chordata; Mammalia; Artiodactyla; Phocoenidae. The record is from RNAcentral.